RNAcentral lists this long non-coding RNA (240 nucleotides) under Prunus persica (peach). RNAcentral's name for it is "long non-coding RNA (PPER_LNC007990)". Lineage: Eukaryota; Viridiplantae; Streptophyta; Magnoliopsida; Rosales; Rosaceae. The record is from RNAcentral.
AAAAGAUACAUCUCUCGUUACGUUCAUCAAAAGCCAAAUCAAGCAGAGUCUGAGUUUUUACAAAUAUGAAAACCUCAACAAAUUUAUGGAAAGCCCUGAUCAAGCAGAACAGGUACUACAGUGUAGUUCCAGCUCAGUAAUCCUCAAGUCUAGCCAUUUCUGCCCCUUUCAGACUGAAGAGGCCUCAAUUUUGCCUAUUCAAAAAGCCUUCUAGGGCUUGAAAUAGAUUAAAGCUUUGCC